Molecule: long non-coding RNA, 3545 nt
Organism: Balaenoptera ricei (Rice's whale)
Lineage: Eukaryota; Metazoa; Chordata; Mammalia; Artiodactyla; Balaenopteridae
Exons: 18
Source: RefSeq, a predicted model, not a curated record
GGGCCCGGGGCGGCCGCUGGUUGGCUCGCGCGCCGCCCUCGCCUCCAAUCCCCGGUGCCUGCCCUAAUUUCCUGAUCCAGGGAACCUGCCGCCGCAGCAGCUGUGCGCUCCCUACAGUCAUUACUGUACCUUCCCGGCAGCCGCCAGCAGUAGAUGCAGCAGAAGCAGCAGCAGCAGUUAGCACUGAUGCAACUACUGAGGCUAUUGCCACCGCCUUCCCACUAACGCGGCUUACAGCCCGGGGGGGACUUGCAGUUUCCAGGGGCAACAAGCGUCUCUCUACCACCCUCUCCUGCGCCUCAAAGGAGGCUGGUCCUGUGAGGCUGGAAAGGUACAGUCUUGACAAGGAACAAAAGACGUCUGUAUAUGAAGAAAUGACAGAUGACCAUGUGUUAAGUGUCAGCCUUGAUGGAUUUAUACAAGAAGGCCAAAGCAACUCAAGGAAGGGAGAGACCCCUGGAAUCCUCAGGACCUUUUGGUGGAGGCCCCGUAGUUGAUGCAAAAGACUGUCAUAUGAACCUGAAAGGGUAACUGAAACCGAAGAAAGGACCCUAGUGUCUAGCCAAAGACAUGCCACAAGGGGUGAGAAGGAGCCGACGUCUCAGCGAACAGGGCACGAGACCAGCUGUGCGUGGCCAGCCUCUGCUUUAGUCCCAAAAGGAAAAGAAACUCGCAGGAGACAGUGAAUCUCAGACUCUUCUGAGGUUAUGAGCAAGAGGUCCCUGGAUCCAAGAGGGAACCUGGCAGCAGGGGUUCCUGGGGAUCAUAUCUGGCACUGGCGAUGAUUGGCUCCACCAAUCAGUGAGGAAGGGAUCCUACUGACCCCAGCCCCCGGACCAACUUCAGUGAAGAGACAGAGACUAAGAGGUGAUGGAGGCCUGGUUCCUCAUGCACAGACAAUUAUGGUACUUAAUUUGGAACUGCAGAAAGCUUUGGUUCACGCACCUGAAAAGCUAAAGCUGACCGGGAAGUUAUGCUUAGAGAAGAAAAAGAGGGAAGAGCCUCUUAGGUAACUUGAAGAGCAUAAAGGAUCCAAUGAUAAAAACCACUGCCCUGAAGUGACAUGUGCUACUUCUGGGCUGAGGAUUAAACUGCUGACAUGACACCCUCGAGAUCUCUCUUUUUCCCCUCUGCCAUCACAUCCGAAAAUUCUCCAGAGUGGAUGCUUCAAUCAGCAUGGGUUUGGAGCUAAGAUGAUGAUGAUACUGAGAAGAGCCUGGGGCGGACUCAUUAUGAAAAAUAAACUUUUAUUGUUUUAAGCCACUGAAAAAAACAAAAAACACUGCCCUGAACUUUCCAAGGUGUAAUAAAUCUCUCUGCAUAAGACUCUCCAGUCGGGCUUCCCUGGUGGCGCAGUGGUUGAGAAUCUGCCUGCCAAUGCAGGGGACACGGGUUCGAGCCCCGGUCUGGGAAGAUCCCACAUGCCGCGGAGCAACUAGGCCCGUGAGCCACGACUACUGAGCCUGCGCGUCUGGAGCCUGUGCUCCGCAACAAGAGAGGCCGCGAUAGUGAGAGGCCCGCGCACUGCGAUGAAGAGUGGCCCCCGCUCGCCGCAACUAGAGAAAGCCCUCGCACAGAAACGAAGACCCAACACAGCCAUAAAUAAAUAAAUAAAUUUAUAAAAAACAAAAAACUCUCCAGUCACUGCCAAGACCAUCUCUCUACCGACCUUUCCGUGGCUCAGCAUUUUGUUGCAAUGCAUGAGCGAAGCUGGAAAACAGAGCCAAGUGACAAACUGUGAAGCAGCAGCUCAGCCUCACAGAGCAAGUGUGCUUUGUGCUAUUUCUGGCCAGAGCAGAUGUGGCCUUGAUGGACUACAGAUCCUGAAUUGGGAGCCAUGUGGAAAGAAGACUGGAUUGGACAUCAGAUUCGGGGUCCUGCUUGGGUUUCUUCCAGAUGACCCCACCAAUCAGCCAUCCGGUCUCAGAUUCCACAUAUGAGUGAGAUCAUAUGAUAUUCAUCAUUCUGUGUCUGACUUUCUGCAACAUGGAUUGACCUAGAGAUUAUCAUACUAAGUGAAGGGGAAUACGUGGCUUUCUCCUCACUUCUUUGCAUUUUUCCAGUGCCUUUGAUUUUGAAAGUACUACCAGAAUGAUGGCUGCAUUUUCAGUGGUGGAAAUUCUUGCUAUGUCUCAGAAGCAAGGAAUCACAGGAUAUCUACUUUCCAGUGGUGAUAUAUGACUCUCAUAAGUGAAAGCCACACCAUCAUUUGUAACACCCUAAUGAGUUUUUUUUCACAGAAACAGAACAGAGAUUCCUAAUGUUUCUUGGAACUUCCCAAAGAAAAGGGAAAGAAAAAAAAAAUUCAACUAAAUGCCCGUUUGUUAGCCCAGCAUUGGAAGGGAACAGCCUUAAAGAAUAAUUGGUCCCUCCUAAGAAACCAUUAAUAUAACAAAAGCUGUCAAAAGAUAUGAAGGAAGAAAGGAUGGUACUUUUUGGUUAUGAGGUGGGGUGACUGGAAAGCAGAAGGUGGAAUCAUCUAAAGGGCACUCACUCGCUUGUCUGGUGGUUGAUGCUGACUGUUGGCUGGGACCAACGUGGGGCUGUGGCUGGAACACCUACAUGUGGCCCUUCUUACGGCUGCUCAUCUUCCCCACAAUAUGGUGGCUGGGUUCCAAAGGUAGCCGCAAAGCAUUGCCCAGGUGCCAAGAGAGGAAAAAUGGACUCUAUCUCUUGAUGAUGGAGCAAAUACGGAAAAUUGCCCAGAUCCUCUUGGCUGCUCAGCUGAAUACUGAAGACAACCAUGAGACAUUUCGUUUUAGCUCAGUCAACAUUUUGUUCUUCAGAAAUUUGUUAAAGACUUGAAACUUUUUCCAAGUCCAUUCUCUCCCAUCACUACCACGCCAAAGUAACAAAAGGAGCAAGAAUCGAGGAAGUGUGGAAAGUGCAUGCGUGGAGGAUGGAUGACUUUCUUUGAUUUUGCCGAAAGGAGAGAUGAGAACAUGAUAAAUAAGGCAGAAGAAGAAUUGCUUUGACUGGAGAUUUCGAAACCGUAUCUCCCUCUUCCCCUGCAUUUUGAAUGUGGCUCCGUGUACAUCUGAAAGCUGGAGAUUAUUACAGAAGAUUGAGCAGAGUCCCCUGUGCUGUACAGCAGGUCCUUGUUGGUCUUCUGUGUUAUAUAUAGCAGUGUGUACACACUCUGCCCCUCUGUCGUCUCCUGCAUACCCACUGCCACUGUCCAGACGUCCUGCAUCCUUCUCCAGGACACUUCAGAACUUUCCAGGAGAGAAACCAAGAUCUCUGGCUCUCAGCACCAUCUCAGCACCUUGAAAAGCCAGCAACCAUCUCACUAGUCACAUGAGGGCACCAUCUUGGAAGCAAAUCCUCCAGCCCUCUGCUAAUCAUCAUUACCCACCAGCUACUCCCCAGCUAACACUGCAUGGAGGAGAGACAAGCCUUUCCCAGGAGUCUUGCCCAAGUUGAAGAUUUAUGAGGAAGAGGGAAAAAAUGCUAUUGUUUUAAGCCACUGUUUUAACUAAACUAUAUGACUUUAACUCUAAAGGGCCUGACUGUCCUCUGAAUCCCACAGUACCACUCAUCUGUCA